CCUUAAUAGCGGCUGCACCAUUAGGAUGUCCUGAUCCAACAUCGAGGUCGUAAACCCCCUCGUCGAUAGGGACUCUGGGAGAGGAUUGCGCUGUUAUCCCUAGGGUAACUCGGUCCGUUGAUCGGCGUUCGCCGGAUCAUUUUUGGUCAGAAAUUCUGGUGCUUAGAGUUGUGGCUCUUGGUUGUGGGGGCAGUGCCCCCAGUCCACAUGGGGGCUUUGUUUUCCCCCGCGGUCGCCCCAACCAAAGACAUAGGGGCUAGGGGUCACUGUGUUUUUACUUGUUAAUUCAAGGUUACUUGACGUGAUCUGCCUGGUGUCUAAAGCUCCAUAGGGUCUUCUCGUCUUAUGUAUUUAUGUCCGCUUCUGCACGGG
RNAcentral lists this ribosomal RNA (372 nucleotides) under Salmo trutta fario. RNAcentral's name for it is "partial 16S ribosomal RNA". Lineage: Eukaryota; Metazoa; Chordata; Actinopteri; Salmoniformes; Salmonidae. The record is from RNAcentral.